UUCUAUUCCUGUUGUAGUUGAAUCAGACAGAGAGACAGGGACAGAGGUUCUAUUCCUGUUGAAUCAGACAGAGAGACAGGGACAGAGGUUCUAUUCCUGUUCUAGUUGAAUCAGACAGAGAGACAGGGACAGAGUUUCUAUUCCUGUUCUAGUUGAAUCAGACAGAGAGACAGGGACAGAGGUUCUAUUCCUGUUGAAUCAGACAGAGAGACAGGGACAGAGGUUCUAUUCCUGUUCUAGAUUAAUCAGACAGAGAGACAGGGACAGAGGUUCUAUUCCUGUUGAAUCAGACAGAGAGACAGGGUCAGAGGUUCUAUUCCUGUUGAAUCAGACAGAGAGACAGAGACAGAGGUUCUAUUCCUGUUCUAGUUGAAUCAGCCAGAGAGACAAGGACAGAGGUUAUAUUCCUGUUGAAUCAGACAGAGAGACAGGGACAGAGGUUCUAUUCCUGUUCUAGAUGAAUCAGACAGAGAGACAGGGACAGAGGUUCUAUUUCUGUUGAAUCAGACAGAGAGACAGGGACAGAGGUUCUAUUCCUGUUCUAGUUGAAUCAGACAGAGAGACAGGGACAGAGGUUCUAUUCCUGUUGAAUCAGACAGAGAGACAGAGACAGAGGUUCUAUUCCUGUUCUAGUUGAAUCAGCCAGAGAGACAAGGACAGAGGUUAUAUUCCUGUUGAAUCAGACAGAGAGACAGGGACAGAGGUUCUAUUCCUGUUCUAGUUGAAUCAGACAGAGAGACAGGGACAGAGGUUCUAUUCCUGUUCUAGAUGAAUCAGACAGAGAGACAGGGACAGAGGUUCUAUUCCUGUUCUAGUUGAAUCAGACAGAGAGACAGGGUCAGAGGUUCUAUUCCUGUUCUAGAUGAAUCAGACAGAGAGACAGGGACAGAGGUUCUAUUCCUGUUGAAGCAGACAGAGAGACAGGGACAGAGGUUCUAUUCCUGUUCUAGUUGAAUCAGACAGAGAGACAGGGACAGAGGUUCUAUUCAUGUUCUAGAUGAAUCAGACAGAGAGACAGGGACAGAGGUUCUAUUCCUGUUCUAGUUGAAUCAGACAGAGAGACAGGGACAGAGGUUCUAUUCCUGUUGAAUCAGACAGAGAGACAGGGUCAGAGGUUCUAUUCCUGUGGAAUCAGACAGAGAGACAGGGACAGAGGUUCUAUUCCUGUUCUAGAUGAAUCAGACAGAGAGACAGGGACAGAGGUUCUAUUCCUGUUGAAUCUGUCCUCUGUCUGAUUCAACAGGAAUAGAACCUCUGUCCCUGUCUCUCUGUCUGAGGUUCUAUUCCUGUUCUAGUUGAAUCAGACAGAGAGACAGGGACAGAGGUUCUAUUCAUGUUCUAGAUGAAUCAGAAAGAGAGACAGUGACAGAGGUUCUAUUCCUGUUCUAGAUGAAUCAGACAGAGAGACAGGUACAGAGGUUCUAUUCCUGUUGAAUCAGACAGAGAGACAGGGUCAGAGGUUCUAUUCCUGUUGACUCAGACAGAGAGACAGGGACAGAAGUUCUAUUCCUGUUCUAGAUGAAUCAGAC
This 1529-nucleotide long non-coding RNA is filed under the name Salmo salar (Atlantic salmon). RNAcentral's name for it is "lncRNA (ENSSSAG00000093517.1)". Lineage: Eukaryota; Metazoa; Chordata; Actinopteri; Salmoniformes; Salmonidae. The record is from RNAcentral.